AUGUCUAAGUACAAAGACUAGUUACUCUAAAACCGCGGAAGGCUCAUUAUAACNGUUNCGAUUUGAGAGAAANAAUCUUUUUGCCACAANANAACUGNNGUAAUUCUAGAGCUAAUAUUUGNUNGAGAAUGCGGUGACUUCGGAAGCGGCGGAUUUAUUAGUAUCAAAAUCAACCUGCUGGAAACAGUGGUUAAUUGAUGACUCUGGAUAACUUUACUGAUCGUACGACCUUUGUGUUGACGACGUAUCUCUUGAAGUGACUGACCUAUCAACUUUCGAUGGUAAGAUCAAAGCUUACCAUGGUUAUAACGGGUAACGGGGAAUCAGUGUUCGAUUCCGGAGAGGGAGCCUGAGAAACGGCUACCACAUCCACGGAAGGCAGCAGGCGCGUAAAUUACCCAAUACCGGCUCGGUGAGGUAGUGACGAAAAAUAACAAUAUGGGCCCUAGUGGUUUCAUAAUUGCAAUGAGAACAUUUUAAAUACUUUAUCAAGUAUCAAUUGGAGGGCAAGUCUGGUGCCAGCAGCCGCGGUAAUUCCAGCUCCAAUAGCGUAUAUUAAAGUUGUUGCAGUUAAAAAGCUCGUAGUUGAAAUUGGGGAUACGAAAUGUUAGAUAUCUAUGAUUGAUAACGUUUCAGUCCUUCACCGUCGCGUAUAUUAUUGAGGUGCUUUAUUGGAUCUUAAUAGUAACCGACAAGUUUACUUUGAAAAAAUUAGAGUGCUUAAAGCAGGCNUUUGCUUGUAUAUUGUUGCAUGGAAUAAUGGAAUAGGACUUCGGUUUUAUUUUGUUGGUUUUCUAAACCGUAGUAAUGAUUAAAAGAGACUGCCGGGGGCAUAUGUAUGCUGGUAUAAGAGGUGAAAUUCUUAGAUUAUCAGCAGACAAACUACUGCGAAAGCAUUUGCCAAGAAUGUUUUCAUUAAUCAAGAACGAAAGUCAGAGGAUCGAAGACGAUCAGAUACCGUCCUAGUUCUGACCAUAAACUAUGCCAACUGACAGUUAGCUAUGGUAAUAUAUUUAUCCUUGCUAGAAGUCACCGGGAAACCUAAGUCUAUGGGUUCCGGGGGAAGUAUGGUUGCAAAGCUGAAACUUAAAGGAAUUGACGGAAGGGCACCACCAGGAGUGGAGCCUGCGGCUUAAUUUGACUCAACACGGGGAAUCUCACCCGGUCCGGACACUGUGAGGAUUGACAGAUUGAUAGCUCUUUCAUGAUUUGGUGGGUGGUGGUGCAUGGCCGUUCUUAGUUGGUGGAGCGAUUUGUCUGGUUAAUUCCGAUAACGAACGAGACUCUAACCUGCUAACUAGUAUAUUUGUGUUAUAAAAGCAAAUAUGACUUCUUAGAGGAAUAAUAGUGUUUAACUAAAUGAAAUUGAGCAAUAACAGGNCUGUGAUGCCCNUAGAUGUCCGGGGNCGCACNCGGGCUACAAUGGCAGNAACAGCCAGUAUUUUUCCNGGNUANAAAUGGNUGGGUAACCNGCUGAAANACUGUCGUAUUCGNAANANAGGNUUGAAAUUUUNCCNCUUGAACGANGAAUUNCUAGUAAANGCAAGUCAUCUACUUGCGCUGAUUACGUCCCUGCCCUUUGUACACACCGCCCGUCGCUACUACCGAUUGAAUGGUUUAGNGAGAUNGCUGGAAUCNGAAAUNAAAAANGNCAACCUUUUCUNUGANUGGGAAAANANACUUCNACUUGNUCAUUUANAGGAAAUAAAAAUCCUAACANAAGGUNU
Molecule: ribosomal RNA, 1727 nt
Filed under: Dolichoplana sp. MR-2006
Lineage: Eukaryota; Metazoa; Platyhelminthes; Tricladida; Geoplanidae
Description: 18S ribosomal RNA
Rfam family: Eukaryotic small subunit ribosomal RNA
Source: RNAcentral